RNAcentral lists this ribosomal RNA (114 nucleotides) under Klebsiella pneumoniae. The record is from RNAcentral. RNAcentral also lists the same sequence under 1 other name. Lineage: Bacteria; Pseudomonadati; Pseudomonadota; Gammaproteobacteria; Enterobacterales; Enterobacteriaceae.
CCUGGCGGCACUAGCGCGGUGGUCCCACCUGACCCCAUGCCGAACUCAGAAGUGAAACGCCGUAGCGCCGAUGGUAGUGUGGGGUCUCCCCAUGUGAGUAGGGAACUGCCAGGC